This is an RNA transcript of Polypterus senegalus (gray bichir), 4282 nucleotides long. It is a transcript of the gene named glycine N-acyltransferase-like protein 3, with no coding region annotated. The record is from RefSeq and is a predicted model, not a curated record. The transcript is spliced from 7 exons. NCBI's taxonomy places the organism in Eukaryota, Metazoa, Chordata, Cladistia, Polypteriformes, Polypteridae.
UCCCUAUGUGUCAACUCAUCUCGGUGACAUUAUUGACGGUGUUGGGUUCAAGGGCUCCUGAACAACAAUAGGGGGAUGGAGUCGAACUCGCAUCGUCACAGAAGCCACGUGUGAACCUUUUGAGCAUCUGUAUUGAAGAGCUCCUCUUGUAAAAUAUGUGACACCACAACUUACUCCACAUUCCCACUGAAGGGAAGAUUCAGGAUUUUUCUGUUCCUGUAAAACGCUGGGUUGCCGAGGCUUAGAUGAAGGCUGAGCCACAUAUGGAGGAAGCUAACCCAGGACUGGAUCCAGCAGCCUAUGUCCGUAAACUGGAACAAAAAACUUGAGAAAACAGGUGGAAAUAAGGUGACCAGGAGAGUUACUGAGCCACCUUCAACUGACCUGUCUUUCAUCAGACACAUUCUGGAACUACACCUUCUUUCACCAGUGCCGCAUCAGAGUGAUUUCAGUGUCUUCUUACGCUUCACCAUGAUUCUGCUGGAGUCAAUGAAAAAGCUAUCAGUCUUAGCUCAUCUUCUUCAAAGAGAUCUGCCACACUCGAUAACUGUUUAUGGAGGUCUUCAGCACAUACGAAACAAUAAUCCUUUCAACAUGGAGGUGUGCGUUGAUUCAUGGCCAGAUUUCAGAACAGUUGUCUUGCGGCGUCAGAGACAGUUUAUCACAGACGACAAUGACGCCUUUUCCAAUCCAUAUGCAAUAUUUGCUAAGGAGCCAGAGCAGCUGAAGAGAAUGCUACUGGAAUUCAAAGUCAUUGACUGGAAGCAAAGCCUUCUGCUAUACUGCAUUUCAGGUUUCACCUUUGAUAUUUUGAAAGAAGUGGCAGAUGCAAAAGAUCUGACAUUGGAGAAUUUCACGAUGCCAAGCAAAAUAUUUAUUCAUCAUAAUCCAGAAAUUAUUGAGGAUGGUUGGUUUCACAAAUCAUCAAAGCUAUCCAGUGACACUACGUUCCUUGCAGAGCUCAUUAACAAAAAUACAAAGUACUGUGGAAGUGAACAAAGCCUGAAUUAUAUAAAGAAGUGUAUUGAACUUUUACCAUCUGCUUACAUAUUAGAUGACGAGGGCCACUUUAUGGGAUGGUGUCUGACUGACGAACUGUCCACAUUUAGGAUGGGUUACAUCCUUCCAGAAUUCAGAAACAAAGGCUAUAUGAAGAGACUAGUCACAAAUCUGGCAAAGUUGAUCCAUCAAAGGGGACAUCCCGCCUACACCUUUGUUACAAAAAGCAACACCAUAUCGCAGUUGCUUUGUAAAAGUCUUGGAAUGACAGAGUAUCCACAUACUUACUAUUAUCUCAAAAUGACUCCAAGGAAAAGUCGACUAUAAGACCUCAUAAUUUACAAAAAUGAAUUUCUUGCUGAUUAAAUUAAAUUUGAUAGGUAUACAUGUAUGAUAAAGAGUACAAGAUUACAUAAAGUUCAAUUGUUGAACAUAAAGUUUGAUUGUUUUUGCACUCUAAUACUACUUUAAUACAAUUUCUGUUCUUUCAGACAGAUCUAAAACAGCCAGUUGUUAUGCGAUUAAAAACACGAAGGUCCAAAACUGUGAGGUAACAUGUCCACCAAAGAAUAGGAAUUGACUUCACAACAACACCCAACAUGACACUGUGAUGGACAGCACAUGUUCAUUAUCGUUCAUGUGCUUCUAAAAACCAAGAACACUUAUUAAAAUAUUAAGUCAUUAUUACACUUAAAUGAUGAACUAUAGGCCACCAAGGGGUCCAGUUCUGUGUACGUCAAAUUAGCAAAUCAUUUAAAGUGGUAAAAUGAAUUAAAUGUGAAUCAUUAGUUACCUUUUCUUUAAAGUUACACUACAGUAUGCGCCACAGCAAAAAGACAUGAAUAACCAAAACAGAUUUACAAUUAUUAUCAAUUACAUUUUGAGAAUAGCCUACUGAGAUGGGCUACUGGAUCAGGAUUUCAAAUGUCUAGCUUAGAGGGGAUGUUUUCUUUUGAGGUGGGGUGGCAUAUCAUUUUCAAUCGUUUUUUGUCCUUUUAGGUCUACAACAUAUAUGCAAUAAGUACAUUCACCUCUUUAUAGCUAUCCCUUUUAAAAUCACAAGCUCUGUUGUACCAUAUGGCCUUGAAAAGUCAUAUUGCCCAUUUUUGUAAUCACUAAAUGAAACUGUACAAUGCUGUAUUUUCCAAAAUUGAAGAUUUUUGACCAUAAAAACUCAACACUUAUCUCACUUGCUCAUUUAAAAUAUGAACAACCUUGUCUGUUGAGAUAAAUGUAAUUUUCCUGUUGCCAUAUAACUCUUCAAUCUAAACUGUGUUUAUUUUUUGCCACUGACUCUCACUAUAUGACCAGCAUGAAUUAUAUUAGGGACAUAAGAAUAAACCAUCCUAUCUAUUACUAUCUAAAACAAUAUAAUUAAGACACACUUUCAGAAUAAUUACAUUCCAAUUUUUGAAGCAGUUACGAUAGACACACCGUUAUAAGGUUAUUCAUUCUAAUUUCGACUAAAUAAUUGUCAGUUGGUUUUGUACUUUGCUUUUCCUAAUUAAUACCUGUAACUUAUGCUACCUCCACAUUAUUACAUUUUCAUUUUAAAUAUGCAGACAUUAAUCUCUGUUUUUACCCUUCAUCUACACUAACCUGGGGUUUUUAACCCCCAAUAAUGGUGACUUUUAAAACCGCUCUGUAGGCCUGCAUACUCCAGAAAACUCUGGCUCAGUGUUGCAAUGUGGAUGGCCAAAAAUGUAGACGUUUAAAAAUGCAAACUCUAAUCACGCUCUGAUUUCCUCAUGCUUAUUACAUAGCCCUUCACGAUAGAAAACUGUAAUUCCAACAUAGCAGACAUGCAGGAAUUGCUUUCCAUGGUGUUUGUUGUUUUGCUUACCCAUAAGCAUCUAAACUAUGCUUUGUACAGUUUGAAUGCUGCAUACAAGCACAAAAGACAAAUAAUUUACCGGUUACUACAGCUUUGCAAUAAGUUUAAUGGCUGGCAGCAUUACCACCCCUUUAAGAGCUUUUCCUCCAAAGCGUCCAUGUCCAGUGUAAGUGAACCUCUAUGUCAUAUGCAUUUUCAGCCAUUUUAGUGUCUAUGGAGAUACUUUUGUAGUGUGGAUGGAGGUUGUGUUCAUUUAAAAACACAGUAGUGUCAAUGUAGCCCAAAACUCAGCCCUUCUUCAGUGAAGCCUGCCACGUAAUAAAACAUUGAAUAAUUCAUUGAAAAACAAGUCCGCUUAAUGAAUGACUGCCUGUAUUAUUUUACAAUGAUUUGCUUCCUUUAAGUGUUGUUAUGCUUAAUAAAGGCACUUUUAAUGGUUCUGCUAGCUAAAAAGUUGCCAUAUGCUGUUUAGAUAAAAUUCAUUUAUUCAAAACACAUCUGUAUAAGACAUGAAUGUGUGAAUAAUAUUUUUAUUAUUUUUUUCUAAUUCCAUGCUCAGUGGUUGUGUGUAAUUUAUGUGCCUUCCUUGUGCCUACAUGCUUUUUUCACUGCUUUUGUCUUGUAUUCUCCAAAGAUGUGCACAUGAGGUUUACAAAUGGCUAUAAAUUGGCAUUACACGUGUGUGUGUGUGUGUGUGUGUGUGUGUGUGCGCGCGUGUGUGUGUGUGUGUGGAGUGAGGCCUACAAUAGACUGCAGCUCCAUCCCAGGUGGGAGCCCCCCCACUCUGACCUUAGGUUUGUUGAGAAAGCCGUGGCUUAUCUUUAAUUGUAUUAAUUGUGUUAAAUCUCAGGCCUUAUUUUUAGCUGUAUGGCUACAUAUCAUAGAAUAUGCCAAAAAUCAUUCAAAAUUCUAUAAAUGUCUUCCAGAGCUGCUUCCCUGUAAUCUUAUUUCUGACGCACCAAUAUCAUGUUUUAUUACAGCGCUAUUGUAGGUUAAGCAGAAUAUUGCAUUUGUAAUUCACAAUGUGCUGAAAACAGAUUACAGUGAUUUGUGACAAUAAUGACCCCUUAGACCUUUAAUGUUCUAAAAUGAAGCAACUCUGAAGCUUCUCUUUUUUCUCUAUAUAGAUAUUACAGAAAUAAAUAAAAAUAAUUGAUAUCUUCAACAUCCUUUUUUAUUAUACUGCUUUAAAAUUUGCAGCAAGAGCUUCUAGAUGGUGAUGGAAUCUGUGCUUAUGUAAAUGAAUCAGAUGUUUAGAGGUUUCUUUUUAGCAUAAAAUUGUUAAAUGAUAAUUUGGGUACUUUCAUGUUUUACAUAUUUUAUUUGAAUUAUUGUUUUCACAGUAACCAUACAGAAUGCUUGUAAAAUUGGUUUAUGGAGUAUUUAAUGGAAUAAAAGGCUGCCAACAUUUGUCAAGUGGAAAGAUUUACAGGGUGAAUAAGUCUAGAA